This 74-nucleotide transfer RNA is filed under the name Haloterrigena turkmenica DSM 5511. Its description in RNAcentral is "tRNA-Thr". The record is from RNAcentral. Lineage: Archaea; Methanobacteriati; Methanobacteriota; Halobacteria; Halobacteriales; Natrialbaceae.
GAGCCUGUCGUUCAGUCCGGCAGAACGGCCGACCGGUGGUCGGCAGGCCCGCGGUUCGACUCCCCGCUCGCGAG